AGUGAGGUGGUCGAGGUUAAGAUGGCGGGCUGUAAACCUGUUUACGGGACGGUGGUCCCCCUCACUA
RNAcentral lists this transfer RNA (67 nucleotides) under Crassadoma gigantea. RNAcentral describes it as "tRNA-Tyr". It matches the Rfam family "tRNA". Rfam says of the family: Transfer RNA (tRNA) molecules are approximately 80 nucleotides in length. Their secondary structure includes four short double-helical elements and three loops (D, anti-codon, and T loops). Lineage: Eukaryota; Metazoa; Mollusca; Bivalvia; Pectinida; Pectinidae. The record is from RNAcentral.